This 445-nucleotide ribosomal RNA is filed under the name uncultured bacterium. Its description in RNAcentral is "SSU rRNA". It matches the Rfam family "Bacterial small subunit ribosomal RNA", at positions 26 to 518 of the family's 1533-position model. The record is from RNAcentral.
AGAGCGAACGCUGGCGGCAGGCUUAACACAUGCAAGUCGAACGGGCAUAGCAAUAUGUCAGUGGCAGACGGGUGAGUAACGCGUGGGAACGUACCUUUUGGUUCGGAACAACACAGGGAAACUUGUGCUAAUACCGGAUAAGCCCUUACGGGGAAAGAUUUAUCGCCGAAAGAUCGGCCCGCGUCUGAUUAGCUAGUUGGUGAGGUAAUGGCUCACCAAGGCGACGAUCAGUAGCUGGUCUGAGAGGAUGAUCAGCCACAUUGGGACUGAGACACGGCCCAAACUCCUACGGGAGGCAGCAGUGGGGAAUAUUAGACAAUGGGCGAAAGCCUGAUCCAGCCAUGCCGCGUGAGUGAUGAAGGCCCUAGGGUUGUAAAGCUCUUUGUGCGGGAAGAUAAUGACGGUACCGCAAGAAUAGCCCGGCUAACUUCGCGCCAGCAGCCGC